GACUCCUUAGCAUAGUGGUUUAUUGUAAUUGUCUCCAAAGCAGUUGGUCCAGGGUUCAACUCCCUGAGGGGUCU
Dictyostelium firmibasis is the source of this 74-nucleotide non-coding RNA. Lineage: Eukaryota; Evosea; Eumycetozoa; Dictyosteliales; Dictyosteliaceae. The record is from the annotation of a GenBank genome assembly.